Molecule: ribosomal RNA, 253 nt
Filed under: uncultured bacterium
Lineage: Bacteria
Description: partial 16S ribosomal RNA
Rfam family: Bacterial small subunit ribosomal RNA
Source: RNAcentral
UACGGGGGGGGCAAGCGUUGUUCGGAAUUACUGGGCGUAAAGGGCUCGUAGGCGGCCAACUAAGUCAGACGUGAAAUCCCCAGGCUCAACCUGGGAACUGCGUCCGAUACUGGCAGGCUUGAAUCCGGGAGAGGGAUGCGGAAUUCCAGGUGUAGCGGUGAAAUGCGUAGAUAUCUGGAGGAACACCGGUGGCGAAGGCGGCAUCCUGGACCGGCAUUGACGCUGAGGCGCGAAAGCCAGGGGAGCAAACGGG